CAAACUUAUGGGAACAAAAAGGAGUAGGUCCGGUAAGGACCGAUUUUGGCCUCAAAUUUCAGGUUCAUCUGACGAAAGAUUUUGACCACUUUUUAAACACUUAAGUGUCUAUUUUAUUUGAAUUAAUUAGUUUAUGUGAAAGAUUUUAACAGAUUUAGUCAUUAAAAACGAUCCGAUUCAAGCUCAAAUAUGAAAAAUCUACCUAAUAUGCCGAAAAAUGUCACUUUUCAGAUGGUUUUUGGUAAAAAUGAAAGUGGCCGCAUCCGUGUUCAUCCUCAACCUUUAUAUGUGUUAUGUAUUAUCAUAAAAUACAACUUACAUUUCAAUAUUAAGGAUGAACACGAAUGCGGCCACUUUCGUUUUACACGAAAACCGUCUAAAAAAUUUAACUAAAAUGCUAGAAUUAUGAGGAUUUCAGUAAUUUAGCAUGACUUAAUGGUGCUAGUUCCGGAUAUAUGUGCAUUGUAUUGUCAAAAACAGCCCG
This 484-nucleotide long non-coding RNA is filed under the name Mytilus galloprovincialis (Mediterranean mussel). The record is from RNAcentral. Lineage: Eukaryota; Metazoa; Mollusca; Bivalvia; Mytilida; Mytilidae.